UAUGCACUCUACUGUAAAUCGCUCUGGAUAAGAGUGUCUGCUAAAUGACUAAAA
This is a non-coding RNA of Salmo salar (Atlantic salmon), 54 nucleotides long. The record is from Rfam. NCBI's taxonomy places the organism in Eukaryota, Metazoa, Chordata, Actinopteri, Salmoniformes, Salmonidae.